This 478-nucleotide ribosomal RNA is filed under the name uncultured bacterium. RNAcentral describes it as "partial 16S ribosomal RNA". It matches the Rfam family "Bacterial small subunit ribosomal RNA", at positions 28 to 507 of the family's 1533-position model. The record is from RNAcentral.
GAUGAACGCUAGCGGCGGGCUUAACACAUGCAAGUCGAGGGGAAAGCCCUUUCGGGGGCAGAAAGCGGGGCAGGGGAGAGGAAGGCGUAUGCGAGAUAACUUUGACCGUGGCAUAGGCAGAAGGUCUUGAGACUAAUACUCAAUCAUGUUAUGGGAUGGCGCUAUAUGGUGAUUGAAGGUACGGUGCUGCAAUUUGGGAUGGCGUCCUAUUGGCUAGUUGGAGUGGUGAGGGCAUCCCAAGGCUACGAUAGGUAGGGGUCCUGAGAGGGAGAUCCCCCACACUGGUACUGGGACAGGUACCAGACUCCUACGGGAGGCAGCAGUGAGGAAGAUUGGUCAAUGGUCGGAAGACUGAACCAGCCAUGCCGCGUGCAGGAAGAAUGCCUGAUGGGUUGUAAACUGCUGUUAUAUGGGAAGAAUAAGGCGUACGUGUACGUUGAUGACGGUACCAUAUGAAUAAGCAUCGGCUAACUCCGUG